Long non-coding RNA from Bombyx mori (domestic silkworm), 3541 nucleotides. RefSeq lists it as uncharacterized. Lineage: Eukaryota; Metazoa; Arthropoda; Insecta; Lepidoptera; Bombycidae. The transcript is spliced from 2 exons. The record is from RefSeq and is a predicted model, not a curated record.
CGUCGAACGUGUGCGGCGUGGGCUCCACCAUGUUGCGGUUCACGAUCUCUCGGACCCGCGAGUCGAGAGACACCUGGAACACACAACAACUCUCACGACCCGCAGUCUACGGUUCACAAAUUACUUGAGCCUCGGGUGCUACGCAUGUUCUCGUCUAGUAAACGUAACGACAAAAGUGAAUAAAAUAAUGAUGUAUCGUUUUAGUUGUGCUUUCAAGUGACAAGCUAUAUUAUUUGGGUGCGUUCUGAUACCACGCGUCAGAAUUAUCACGAUUCCUGCAGAACCUAAGAAUUUGGAAUAACCGUAUGUAGAUUUGAUGGAGCCUUCGACUUUCAUGAGACUAUUUAACAAUUUACAUUCGCAUGCUUACUCGUGGCCGAAGUACUAGUACAUACAUCUUUUCUACACAUACUAAUACACUAAUCACCUCUAAUUACUACUCAACGCGAUGGCGGGUCCGUUGGGUGAGAUUUCUUAAAGAACGAAAUAUUGAGUUUAGACAUAUUUAGGUACUUUUUUCUAUAAGUGUACAUUUUUAAUUUUUGUUUGUACAUGAGCUAAAUAUGGUAAAUGAUGACUUCUUAUAAACGCUGCGUAUCCGCUCCAGACAUGCUUCGUGCUAAGUUUGUUACCGGUGAUGGUUUUUUUUAUUUUUAUGAUUGAAGCAUUACUGGUGGCCCGGAGGCCUUUCCAGUUUCACCAGGACAGGUGGGCGAGCAAAGGCUCAGCCAGGAGGGGUGGGAUUUGCUAACAGCUACCCGAGCGCCUCCGAAGGAGACCUAACAACUCAAGAGUAGCUGCUUCGCGAAUGAAUCUACUACCGGAUCGGAAUCGCGACACGCUGAGAAGAUCCGGCGAGAAACUCAGCGAGCUGAUUCAUGGGUUAGGUUGCACGGCGAACUCUUUGUCGAGUUCGACGAGUACGGUUACCGAGGUCCCUAAGCCUGCUCCUAGUGUUAGAGCUGAAGGCGUCUAAUGCAAAGGUUAUUGGAUCUGAUGGAUCCGUAAGGACGUGUCUAGGGCGUCGACGGUGACUGGCUCCUGCAUGAUCAGGAUUCGGGGAGUAGUCAGCGGCGACUACGAUAAGGCGAUUAUCAUGACGCAUAGCCUUAUCGAAGUACCGUUCCGACGCUGACUUCAUGUAUUUCUGUAUAGAUUCGAGGCCCAUGUCGUCGUGUAGGUCAACGUUCCUCACGAACCACGGAGCUCCGACGGCUAACCUGCAAAAGCGGGAUUGUAGAGAUUGAAGGGUGUCUAUGUGUGUGCGGGCCGCGUGAGCGAACACCACACUCACGUAAGUCAUGACGGGCCUUAUGCAAGUUUUGUAAAGUGUCACCUUGUUCCGAAGGGACAUUUUACUCCGCUUACAGAUCAUGGGGUAGAGUCUACUGAGAAUAAACGCGGCACGGUCACGGACUGAUUUUAUAUGCGGGCGGAAUGUUAUCGAUGCAUCCAGGGUAACGCCCAGGUACUUGACCUUCCUGCCCCAGGGUAUGGAUUGACUAAAGAGAGUAAUCGGGGGUGCGGUGAUGGUAUGAAGGACUAUAAGGUUGAUAGCUACGCUGAUAACAAGCAUCGCACCGUCUGGUGCACCUCGGUCUACCACAGGUUCAUGAGGUCUGUCCCUUCACAGUCUCACACGAGGCUCAGAGUCACCGCGACGACGGUACGCUAACAGGGCGGAUCAAAAGGCGGCAGUUCUCAACAAAUGAACCACGACAUUUGUCUGUUCAAAACUGUAUAUGUAUGUGUAGAAUUCAAUUUUUACUGGUGGUUACAAAUUUAUACUGUUGGUAGGACCUCUUAUGAGUCCGCACGGGUAGGUACCACCACCCUGCCUGUUUCUGCCGUGAAGCAGUAAUGCGUUUCGGUUUGAAGGGUGGGGCAGCCGUUGUAACUAUGUUAGACCUUAGAACGUAUAUCUCAAGGUGGGCGGCGCAUUUACGUUGUAGAUGUCUAUGGGCUCCAGUAACCACUUAACACCAGGUGGGCUGUGAGAUCGUCGACCCACCUAAGAAAAAAAAAAAAAAAACAUUGUGGAUACAUUGUUCAAGUUUUAACAAGUUGAUAAAACGAACCGGUGCUCCGCAUCAGCCGGUCGAACGACUGCCCCCAGCCUUGGAUCUCCUCCAGCGAUGGCCUGCAACCAACGAUAUUUACUGAGUACACGUCCCAAACGAACAAAACUUACAAUCUUAACACAUUUCUAAUCUUUGAUUCCUUAACUAUAGCACCCACUACCGAAGGCAUAUAUAAUGUGCCCGAUCUUUGAGACUGCUAAGACUGCUGCUGAAACUGCUAACACCCACUAGCUGCCGACUGACCCCGCAACGUGCAAGCAGCGAACUAGGAACCAUUCUCCCCACUGGUGUCAGGGCAGCUUUUGAUUUCGACAUGGUUGCGCAGAGACCAGGCACUUGAAAGUCCCUGUGGCUGACUGUCCUAGUUGUCCGUUCUCAACAACUACAAUAUGUUCUUACAAAUGUUCACGAUUGACUUCCACGGUGAAGGAAUAGCGUCGUGUAAUAAAAAUCAAACCCGCCAAAUUAUAAUUUGCGUAAUUACUGACAGUAGGACCUCUUGUGAGUCCGCGCGGGUAGGUACCACCACCCUGCUUAUUUCUGCCGUGAAGCAGUAUACUGAGACCUUAGAACUGAUAUCUCAAGGUGGGUGGCGCAUUUACAUCGUAGAUGUCUAUGAGCGCCAGUAACCACUUAACACCAGAUGGGCUGUGAGCUCGUCCAUCCAUUUAAGCAACAAAAAAAAACAAUUCCAGUCGUGAGGCGCAUAUGCAUCACAACACUAGCCGACCUCCAUCUUACCAGAUGAGUAACAAGAAAAUAAAUCUCAUCAAUGUUUGUGGUCCUAGAUGGGCAGUAACAGCGUAAUAUUGACGACGUGGAUUGGCUCCAAUUAUAGCUAACAAUCGGGUGAGCCAUAAACUCGCCUGCCUAUGCAAUGAAAAAUGAAAAGUUUCGUCGCAUACCAUAUCAUACCAGCCAUGCUCCUCGCCAGACUAAGGUAUAGGUGGCAGGCUACCGAGGUAUAGACCUAUCAAUAGUAAUCGGAAUAUCGAGAGAGUACGUCUGCCCGCUGCUUCUGUGACGAGUAUAGAGAGUGCGUGUACUCACGGCGCGUCGCCUUCCUGUAGAAGGGGUUCCUGUGGUCCCGGUUCGGGAGGCUUCUUGCCGGGGCCGGCCUCCGAGCCGCGCGCCGCCAGACUGUGACAGAACCAAUACGGGUCAAUUAGAAGCCCUACCGUUUUUAGACAUACUACACUACUAUGGGUACUACCUACAGCUCACAGGAUGGAUCCAGUAAUAACAGUUCAUGGAAGCUAUUUCCAUUUUACUACAAGCAGAAAAGUUCAAAAGUUUGUCAUCAAGAGUGACGGAGUCUACAAGGGAACUGGUAAUGGUCCUCAGUUGGCCCCGGUGUUGUUUUGGAUGAAAUUGAAAGGAGAUUGAGAAAAACCGUUCAUUUUAACAUUUUCAUGUUUAAUAAGUUAGAAACCUUAUAAAAUAGCCUUGUGAAAUUUAAA